GACGAACGCUGGCGGCGUGCUUAACACAUGCAAGUCGAACGGAAAGGCCUGCUUUCCCUUGUGGAUUGCGGGUACUCGAGUGGCGAACGGGUGAGUAACACGUGAGUGAUCUGCCCCCAACUUGGGUAUAAGCCUGGGAAACUGGGUCUAAUUCCCGAUAGGACUGCAGGGUGGUGCCUGUGGUGGAAAACGAUUUUCUAGUGGUUGGGGAUGAGCUCGCGGCCUAUCAGCUUGUUGGUGGGGUAAUGGCCUACCAAGGCGGCGACGGGUAGCCGGCCUGGGAGGGUGGACGGCCACAUUGGGACUGAGAUACGGCCCAGACUCCUACGGGAGGCAGCAGUGGGGAAUAUUGCACAAUGGGCGGAAGCCUGAUGCAGCGAGGCCGCGUGGGGGAUGACGGCCUUCGGGUUGUAAACUCCUUUCGACCGCGAGGAAGCCACCUGGUUGGAAGGGUGGUGACGGUAGUGGUAGAAGAAGCACCGGCUAACUACGUG
RNAcentral lists this ribosomal RNA (494 nucleotides) under uncultured bacterium. Its description in RNAcentral is "partial 16S ribosomal RNA". It matches the Rfam family "Bacterial small subunit ribosomal RNA", at positions 28 to 507 of the family's 1533-position model. The record is from RNAcentral.